RNAcentral lists this ribosomal RNA (1227 nucleotides) under Klebsiella pneumoniae. RNAcentral describes it as "bacterial LSU rRNA". It matches the Rfam family "Bacterial large subunit ribosomal RNA", at positions 1722 to 2925 of the family's 2925-position model. Lineage: Bacteria; Pseudomonadati; Pseudomonadota; Gammaproteobacteria; Enterobacterales; Enterobacteriaceae. The record is from RNAcentral.
AUGGUGCCGUAACUUCGGGAGAAGGCACGCUGGUGUGUAGGUGAAGUCCCUGCGGAUGGAGCUGAGACCAGUCGAAGAUACCAGCUGGCUGCAACUGUUUAUUAAAAACACAGCACUGUGCAAACACGAAAGUGGACGUAUACGGUGUGACGCCUGCCCGGUGCCGGAAGGUUAAUUGAUGGGGUUAUCCGUAAGGAGAAGCUCUUGAUCGAAGCCCCGGUAAACGGCGGCCGUAACUAUAACGGUCCUAAGGUAGCGAAAUUCCUUGUCGGGUAAGUUCCGACCUGCACGAAUGGCGUAAUGAUGGCCAGGCUGUCUCCACCCGAGACUCAGUGAAAUUGAACUCGCUGUGAAGAUGCAGUGUACCCGCGGCAAGACGGAAAGACCCCGUGAACCUUUACUAUAGCUUGACACUGAACAUUGAGCCUUGAUGUGUAGGAUAGGUGGGAGGCUUUGAAGCGUGGACGCCAGUCUGCGUGGAGCCAACCUUGAAAUACCACCCUUUAAUGUUUGAUGUUCUAACGUUGGCCCCUGACCGGGGUUGCGGACAGUGUCUGGUGGGUAGUUUGACUGGGGCGGUCUCCUCCCAAAGCGUAACGGAGGAGCACGAAGGUUAGCUAAUCCUGGUCGGACAUCAGGAGGUUAGUGCAAUGGCAUAAGCUAGCUUGACUGCGAGCGUGACGGCGCGAGCAGGUGCGAAAGCAGGUCAUAGUGAUCCGGUGGUUCUGAAUGGAAGGGCCAUCGCUCAACGGAUAAAAGGUACUCCGGGGAUAACAGGCUGAUACCGCCCAAGAGUUCAUAUCGACGGCGGUGUUUGGCACCUCGAUGUCGGCUCAUCACAUCCUGGGGCUGAAGUAGGUCCCAAGGGUAUGGCUGUUCGCCAUUUAAAGUGGUACGCGAGCUGGGUUUAGAACGUCGUGAGACAGUUCGGUCCCUAUCUGCCGUGGGCGCUGGAGAAUUGAGGGGGGCUGCUCCUAGUACGAGAGGACCGGAGUGGACGCAUCACUGGUGUUCGGGUUGUCAUGCCAAUGGCACUGCCCGGUAGCUAAAUGCGGAAGAGAUAAGUGCUGAAAGCAUCUAAGCACGAAACUUGCCCCGAGAUGAGUUCUCCCUGAGACUUUAAGUCUCCUGAAGGAACGUUAAAGACGAUGACGUUGAUAGGCCGGGUGUGUAAGCGCAGCGAUGCGUUGAGCUAACCGGUACUAAUGAACCGUGAGGCUUAACCUU